Molecule: ribosomal RNA, 406 nt
Filed under: uncultured bacterium
Lineage: Bacteria
Description: partial 16S ribosomal RNA
Rfam family: Bacterial small subunit ribosomal RNA
Source: RNAcentral
AUUGAACGCUGGCGGCAGGCCUAACACAUGCAAGUCGAACGAGUGGCGGACGGGUGAGUAAUGUCUGGGGAACUGCCCGAUGGAGGGGGAUAACUACUGGAAACGGUAGCUAAUACCGCAUACCAUCGGAUGUGCCCAUAUGGGAUUAGCUGGUAGGUGGGGUAAUGGCUCACCUAGGCGACGAUCCCUAGCUGGUCUGAGAGGAUGACCAGCCACACUGGAACUGAGACACGGUCCAGACUCCUACGGGAGGCAGCAGGGGGGAAUAUUGCACAAUGGGCGCAAGCCUGAUGCAGCCAUGCCGCGUGGAUGAAGAAGGCCUUCGGGUUGUAAAGUACUUUCAGCGGGGAGGCGUUACCCGCAGAAGAAGCACCGGCUAACUCCGUGCCAGCAGCCGCGGUAAUAC